AUGUUUUUGAAUGAAUGAAUGAAUGAAUGAAUGAGCCUUCUAAGGAGAAUGUCCUCAUUUGAGUCCAGGCCCUUGUCCACAUGAGAUUCCAUGGCUGCUAAUCAGCUUCCUCUCUCUCCACCCCUCCUCUGCCCACCCCCCACUGGAUGCAGAGGCAGGGAAGCAGGCCUCCCCAUGACUGUCCAGCUCUUUUCCUGCCACCUGAUUGUCCAGGCCUCCACCUGGGAGUCUGGGGCUCUGCAAACUCUUCUUCCCCAAAUCACCCCACCCCCCAUGCCACUAAGCUCCCCAGUCUCUCUUCCCAGCCCUGCCCUCUGCUAACUCCCUAAUUUCCCAAGGUUGACUGGUUUUAUCCUCUCAAGGUUACUCUGACCCCAUCCCUCUCCUCUCCCUCCUCCUGCCCUAGGGAAGCAAGAGAGGGUGGGGGUAUGCAGGGAGAAAAGCAAAAACCUCCUGACCUUGUCUGCUUGCCAGGGGCUAGAGAUAGGAGAGAAAUCGGGAGGAGCAGGAAGGGUAGGGCCCUCCCGGAGGUGGGGCCAGCCCUUUGCAGGGUUGAGGGGCUGCCCCAGAGUCAGUUGCUGGUCCGGGUCUGGCUCCCCAGGCUGGCUUGCUGCCUGGGAACAAGGCUUGUUUACAAGCUGGUCAGGAGGAGGGAUGGGCAGUAGUAGCAGCUAGAAUCCCAAGGGACCAGCUUGCUCCCUGCCCUCCCGUCCUCGCUCCCAUCCCCAAGUCACAGGAAAGGAAAGUCCAGAAGAGGAGUGGGGGUGGGGGGGUAGGGCAUCGGGCAAAACAUCAAGCGUCACUUCUGCACCCUGGUCUCUGUCAACUCUGGGUGAGCUGAGCCACUGUGGGCAAGUCAGCUCUCUCUCCGCGCUUCAGAAACAGGAGAAGUUGCCCGAGAAGCUCCCUUGUCCCCUCCAAGUUAACACUGGACAUAACAUCAAGAAAUAACUCCCCCAUCUCCCCUCUUUCUUUACCCUCCUUUCUUCCCUUCUGCUUCCUUAGGGAAUCAACUCUGCUUUUUUGGCCUCUGAGUCAGCAUUGGCCUGGGGUCAGCCCAGAGAAGAUGUACCCUUUUGGGAGCAUCUGCUUGUUUGGGGAGCUAAGCACAGUGGUGUAGGAGUUAUAUAAUAUAUAGCAGGUAGGAUCUGAGAUCCUAAUCAAAUAGCCAUUCCUGGGCAUAGAAAAAAUGAGGCUAGUCCUAAAGGAAAUCUUGCAGACAAGAAGGGACAGGCCUAAGGUUGGCCAUUCUAACUGGCUUGGCAGAUGCCAAAAUCUCCCUCCCAGGACCUUGGUUGGUAGAAUCGAUAGCCAAGUGAGGUGGCGUUAGGGACAGCCAGCUCCUACUGGCAACAUCUGUAGCUCUAAGCCCUGGGGGCCCCAGGUUCUGGCCUAACCUACCUUUCCGUCUCCAGAUUCAGAGGGCCAAAGGGAAUGCCAGAAACCAUCUACUCCUACUCUACCCACUUCACCCCCGUUAUACAGACGAACAUCUGAGGAAAGAGGUGGCCGACCUUGGCCACUCAAUGGAGGAAUCUGUACUUCAAGAAGUUUAGGUGAAAGACACACUAAAGACAAAGAUCUCACGCUGUCACCAUGUCACGAUGUGUCACGAUGUCAUUCGUGGCACACGUGCAGAGUCUGGGGAGUCUGUGACUUGGGUUUCGGUCUGGGCUCCGCCAUUUGCUUCUCCUAAGACGUCAGCAAGUCCCUUGCAUGUGAAGUGGGCACUUAAUAUUUGUUGAAUGAAUGAGACCUGACCUUCGCAA
Felis catus (domestic cat) is the source of this 1769-nucleotide long non-coding RNA. RefSeq lists it as uncharacterized. The transcript is spliced from 2 exons. NCBI's taxonomy places the organism in Eukaryota, Metazoa, Chordata, Mammalia, Carnivora, Felidae. The record is from RefSeq and is a predicted model, not a curated record.